AUGGCAGCACCAUCUUCAUCUGCAGAACGUGCAGUCGUCGCCGAUCCACCGCUCAGGCCAGAAUCUGGCUGUCUUGGGGCCCAGUUGUACUCCAUCCGCCCCAUGGAGUUGGGCAGUAAUUCAUCAUCCACCGACACGUAUCUUGGUGUCGUCCGGGAAGACCUUUCCUUCGAUGGCGCCGUUGACCUCGCCUACGAGCCGUAUUGGCGAAAUUUGGAGUUCCUACAAGUUAUUAAGUAUUGGGCGAAAUUUGGAGUUCCUUAUGUGCCUCCCACGCUCACGCCAUCCGAUUCAUGUCAGGGAGGUUCUUACCAAAUGUCUCCACACAAGCUUUGUGGAUUGGAACUAGGAGUGCAAAUUAGUUUUCUCUAUUAA
RNAcentral lists this ribosomal RNA (375 nucleotides) under Triticum aestivum (bread wheat). RNAcentral describes it as "partial small subunit ribosomal RNA". The record is from RNAcentral. Lineage: Eukaryota; Viridiplantae; Streptophyta; Magnoliopsida; Poales; Poaceae.